Molecule: ribosomal RNA, 440 nt
Filed under: uncultured bacterium
Lineage: Bacteria
Description: partial 16S ribosomal RNA
Rfam family: Bacterial small subunit ribosomal RNA
Source: RNAcentral
CCUACGGGAGGCAGCAGUGGGGAAUAUUGCACAAUGGGGGAAACCCUGAUGCAGCAACGCCGCGUGAGUGAGGAAGUAUUUCGGUAUGUAAAGCUCUAUCAGCAGGGAAUAGAAAAGAAGGUACCCGAAGAAAAAGCAUCGGCUAACUCCGUGCCAGCAGCCGCGGUAAUACGGAGGAUGCGAGCGUUAUCCGGAUUUAUUGGGUUUAAAGGGUGCGCAGGCGGGAGAUCAAGUCAGCGGUAAAAUGUCGGGGCUCAACCCCGGCCGGCCGUUGAAACUGGUUUUCUAGAGUUGGAGAGAAGUAUGCGGAAUUCGUGGUGUAGCGGUGAAAUGCAUAGAUAUCACGAAGAACUCCGAUUGCGAAGGCAGCAUACCGGCUCCAUACUGACGCUGAGGCACGAAAGCGUGGGGAUCGAACAGGAUUAGAUACCCUUGUAGUC